Long non-coding RNA from Myxocyprinus asiaticus (Chinese sucker), 1778 nucleotides. RefSeq lists it as uncharacterized. The record is from RefSeq and is a predicted model, not a curated record. Lineage: Eukaryota; Metazoa; Chordata; Actinopteri; Cypriniformes; Catostomidae. The transcript has 3 exons.
GUGAGUGUGUUUGUUUAUCUCAAGUGCUUCUGCGGUGAGCUGUGUGCCGUUGUGCGCCUCGCGCUGAGAGGUUUGAAAAGCAUCCAGUGCUCCUGUCUUCCUGCGAGCACGUCUCCUAGCAACACACUCCGAGUCCAAACACCAGCUGCUGCAGAGGAUAUCAGUGAUAACAGAGAGACUCCUUAAAACAUCUGAGCAUGCCAGAGAAUGGAGAGAGAGAACGAGUCGAGUGUACAGCGUUGGCAUCUGUUGAUGUCGAGUGCUUAUUCUACUGAGUGUUGUGAAGAAGUUUGUUUAUUUUGAGAGUGUUUUUGGAUUGAGUAAAAGCACAGAAAGAGUGCAUAUGCUGUGCACAGAGGCAAAGGAAAUAAAAGUCUACCUGAAGCGUGUCACUGCUCCCCGUCUCCUCAUUUCCAUACACGAACUCUGACGUGGUGUCACACUGGUGCCGAAACCUGGGAUUUGAGGAGAUAAGUCAUCAUGGAGUCCUCACCACUGGGCGAAGUGAUCAAGACCCUCGCCGGCAUCAAGCAAAACCAGCAUCAGGCCCUCGUCGAGCUGUGGCUAGAGCAGGCCCAAAUGGAGGACAGACAGGCGUUCCGAAGCCUGAAAAGACAAGAGGGUGUUGCUGCGGACACCCCGGAGCCCACCUCGACUGUCCAGCCAGUCGCCCUUGUGAAAAUGGGGCUGGCAGACAAUCCAGAAGCCUACCUCGAUCUUUUUGAGAAUGUGGGAAUGGCCGCCUGACGAGUGGGUGGCCCGGCUGUUGCCAUUACUCUCCGGGGAAGUGCAGCUUGCGGCCCAACAGCUCCCCGCAGCCAACAUCCUCAUCUAUGCUGACUUGAAGAGAGCCAUUCUGGAGCGGGCUGGCCAGACCCCCGAACAGAGCUGACAGCACUUCUGCGCCCUGAAGCUGGGCAAACACUACCAUCCGUUCACCUUCGCAAAGCAGCUCUGGGAUGCCUGCCAGAAAUGGUUGCAGGCAGGGGAACCCCGCGGCACCCAAGACUUCACGGGCAAGGUGGUUCUGGAGCAGUUCAUUGCCCAGCUGCCCUGUGGGAUAGCCGAGUGGGUCUAGUGCCACCGUCCGGCAUCGCUGGAGGAAGCGAUUCAGCUGGCCGAGGACUACAUGACGGCGCUUCCGGGAAGCAGUGAUCCAGAGUCUCUCUCUGUCUUAUCUCUCUCUCUCAUCUCCCCUGCUAACUCUGCCUCUCUCUGCUUCCCCCCCAGGUUGGUGAGUCCGUUCCCAUGGGUGUAGGAGGGGGGCCUGGGCCGGUCUGUUGGAGCUGCAGGGAUCCAGGGCAUUUCCAGGACCGCUGCCCCGUAAUGGAGGGAAGACAUCCUCCUCCCUCAUGCGGUACCCUUCCUGCAGGCUCAUCCUGACAUGACCCUCCAGCAUGACAAUGCCACCAGCCAUACUGCUCGUUCUGUGCGUGAUUUCCUGCAAGACAGGAAUGUCAAUGUUCUGCCAUGGCCAGCGAAGAUCACGGAUCUCAAUCUCAUUGAGCAUGUCUGGGACCUUUUGGAUCGGAGGGUGAGGGCUAGAGUCAUUCCCCCCAGAAAUGUCCGGGAACUUGCAAGUGCCUUAGUGGAAGAGUGGGGUAAAAACUCACAGCAAGAACUGGCAAAUCUGAUACAGUCCAUGAGGAGGAGAUGCACUGCAGUACUUAAUGCAGCUGGUGGCCACACCAGAUACUGACAGUUACUUUUGAAUUUGACCCCCCCUUUGUUCAGGGACACAUUAUUCCACUUCUGUUAGUCACAUGUCUGUGAAACUU